RNAcentral lists this ribosomal RNA (491 nucleotides) under uncultured bacterium. RNAcentral's name for it is "partial 16S ribosomal RNA". It matches the Rfam family "Bacterial small subunit ribosomal RNA", at positions 29 to 507 of the family's 1533-position model. The record is from RNAcentral.
UUGAACGCUGGCGGCAUGCUUUACCCAUGCAAGUCGAGCGGUAACAGGCCUUCGGGUGCUGACGAGUGGCGAACGGGUGAGUAAUGCAUCGGAACGUACCCAGAGGUGGGGGAUAACGCAGCGAAAGCUGUGCUAAUACCGCAUGUGAUCUGAGGAUGAAAGCGGGGGACCGAGCAGCAAUGUUUGGCCUCGCGCCUUUGGAGCGGCCGAUGUCGGAUUAGCUAGUUGGUGGGGUAAAGGCCUACCAAGGCGACGAUCCGUAGCUGGUCUGAGAGGACGACCAGCCACACUGGGACUGAGACACGGCCCAGACUCCUACGGGAGGCAGCAGUGGGGAAUUUUGGACAAUGGGCGCAAGCCUGAUCCAGCAAUGCCGCGUGCGGGAAGAAGGCCUUCGGGUUGUAAACCGCUUUUGGCAGGAACGAAACGGUGUCCGCUAAUACCGGGCGCUAAUGACGGUACCUGCAGAAUAAGCACCGGCUAACUACGUG